CAGAGGGUGCGAGCGUUGUCCGGAAUCACUGGGCGUAAAGGGCGCGUAGGUGGCGUCGCAAGUCGAUGGUGAAAGCUCGACGCUCAACGUCGAGUCGGCCAUUGAGACUGCGAGGCUGGAGCACUGUAGAGGCAGAUGGAAUUCCGGGUGUAGCGGUGGAAUGCGUAGAGAUCCGGAAGAACACCGGUGGCGAAGGCGGUCUGCUGGCAGUUGCUGACACUGAGGCGCGACAGCGUGGGGAGCAAACAGAAUUAGAUACCCUGGUAGUCCACGCCGUAAACGAUGGGCACUAGAUGCUUGGGGGAGCGACCCCCUGAGUGUCGUCGCUAACGCAGUAAGUGCCCCGCCUGGGGAGUACGGCCGCAAGGCUG
This 371-nucleotide ribosomal RNA is filed under the name uncultured organism. RNAcentral's name for it is "bacterial SSU rRNA". It matches the Rfam family "Bacterial small subunit ribosomal RNA", at positions 526 to 896 of the family's 1533-position model. The record is from RNAcentral.